GACGAACGCUGGCGGCGUGCUUAACACAUGCAAGUUGAACGAGAAUUUUUCGAGUGAUUUCUUCGGAAUGAUCAUGAAAACGGAAAGUAGCGAACGGGUGAGUAACACGUGAGAAACCUGCCUUUCACAAAGGGAUAGCCUCGGGAAACCGGGAUUAAUACCUUAUGAAACCAAACACUCGCAUGAGAGAUUGGUUAAAGAUUUAUCGGUGUUAGAUGGUCUCGCGUCUGAUUAGCUAGUUGGUGGGAUAAUAGCCUACCAAGGCAACGAUCAGUAGCCGGAUUGAGAGGUUGAGCGGCCACACUGGAACUGAGACACGGUCCAGACUCCUACGGGAGGCAGCAGUGGGGAAUUUUGCACAAUGGAGGAAACUCUGAUGCAGCGACGCCGCGUGAGUGAUGAAGGUCUUCGGAUUGUAAAACUCUGUCCUUAGUGAAGAUAAUGACAGUAACUAAGAAGCAAGCCCUGGCUAAAUACGUG
This 480-nucleotide ribosomal RNA is filed under the name uncultured bacterium. RNAcentral describes it as "partial 16S ribosomal RNA". It matches the Rfam family "Bacterial small subunit ribosomal RNA", at positions 28 to 507 of the family's 1533-position model. The record is from RNAcentral.